Molecule: ribosomal RNA, 253 nt
Filed under: uncultured bacterium
Lineage: Bacteria
Description: partial 16S ribosomal RNA
Rfam family: Bacterial small subunit ribosomal RNA
Source: RNAcentral
UACAUGGGGUGCAACCGUUGCUCGGAAUCAUUGGGCGUAAAGCGCGCGUAGGCGGUUGCUUAAGUCGGAUGUGAAAGCCCUCGGCUUAACUGAGGAAGUGCAUCCGAAACUGAGCAGCUAGAGUACGAAAGAGGGUCGCGGAAUUCCCGGUGUAGAGGUGAAAUUCGUAGAUAUCGGGAGGAACACCGGUGGCGAAGGCGGCGACCUGGGUCGAGACUGACGCUGAGGCGCGAAAGCGUGGGGAGCAAACAGG